RNAcentral lists this ribosomal RNA (1320 nucleotides) under Micrambina sp. DDM0952. RNAcentral describes it as "eukaryotic LSU rRNA". It matches the Rfam family "Eukaryotic large subunit ribosomal RNA", at positions 70 to 1119 of the family's 3401-position model. The record is from RNAcentral. Lineage: Eukaryota; Metazoa; Arthropoda; Insecta; Coleoptera; Cryptophagidae.
UAGGAUUUCCUUAGUAGCUGCGAGCGAACAGGAAAAAGCCCAGCACUGAAUCCCGCGGCCAUUUAGGACGCUGGGAAAUGUAGUGUUAGGGAGGAUCCAAUUAUCCCGAGUUUGUGCGGUGCGUCCAAGUCCUUCUUGAACGGGGCCAUAACCCAUAGAGGGUGCCAGGCCCGUAGUGACUGCUGCCAAAUUCGGGAGGAUCUCUCCUCAGAGUCGGGUUGCUUGAGAGUGCAGCCCUAAGUGGGUGGUAAACUCCAUCUAAGGCUAAAUAUAACCACGAGACCGAUAGCGAACAAGUACCGUGAGGGAAAGUUGAAAAGCACUUUGAAGAGAGAGUUCAAUAGUACGUGAAACCGUUCAGGGGUAAACCUGAGAAACCCGAAAGUUCGAAAGAGAAAAUUCAUCGUGUUUCGGGCUAAUGUUAAUUUGUGGAGUGACAAAUGGUGUUAAAGCCGUUCUGCGCCUGCUUUUUAUCAAAUAAGACCGAAUGCGUGCACUUUUUCUCUAGUAGGACGUUGCGAUCCGUUGAGUGUAGACUUAAGGCCCGCAUAGGAGCCCAUUCGGUUUGACUUCGGUCACUCAGUUUGGACUAGUGGUGUCCCGGUCUACUCGCUCGACGGUAUAUAGAUGGCAUAGAGCCGCAUUUUUGCGUUCAGCCUAUGGCAAGCACUUUCCUGCGUUGGCAGUCGGACCUAGCGCCGGCUCUGACCUGGCAAGACUGUUGGCUAUAGUGUUCUUGAACCGACUCUAUUUGUUUUUGCCGAUCUGCGACGCUUUAGCUUUGGGUACUUUCAGGACCCGUCUUGAAACACGGACCAAGGAGUCUAGCAUGUGCGCGAGUCAUUGGGUAAUACAAAACCUAAAGGCGAAAUUAAUGUAAAGGUUUGCCUUUGUGCAGACUCAGGGAAGAUGGGUGGUUCACAUUAACUGUGGCUGCUCCGCACUCCCGGGGCGUCUCAUUCUCAUUACGAGAAGAGGCGCACCAAGAGCGUACACGCUGGGACCCGAAAGAUGGUGAACUAUGCCUGGUCAGGACGAAGUCAGGGGAAACCCUGAUGGAGGUCCGUAGCGAUUCUGACGUGCAAAUCGAUCGUCGGAACUGGGUAUAGGGGCGAAAGACUUAUCGAACCAUCUAGUAGCUGGUUCCCUCCGAAGUUUCCCUCAGGAUAGCUGGCGCUCGUUGAUACGAGUCUCAUCUGGUAAAGCGAAUGAUUAGAGGCAUUGGGGUCGAAACGACCUCAACCUAUUCUCAAACUUUAAAUGGGUGAGAUCUUCGGCUUGCUUAAAUUUAUUUAUGAAGCCGCAAGAUACGGAUCAGAG